GCGUAACGCGUGGGAAUCUGCCCUUGGGUUCGGGAUACANNUGGAAACGACUGCUAAUACCGGAUGAUGACUUCGGUCCAAAGAUUUAUCGCCCAGGGAUGAGCCCGCGUAGGAUUAGCUAGUUGGUGAGGUAAGAGCUCACCAAGGCGACGAUCCUUAGCUGGUCUGAGAGGAUGAUCAGCCACACUGGGACUGAGACACGGCCCAGACUCCUACGGGAGGCAGCAGUGGGGAAUAUUGGACAACGGGCGAAAGCCUGAUCCAGCAAUGCCGCGUGAGUCAUGAAGGCCUUAGGGUUGU
RNAcentral lists this ribosomal RNA (300 nucleotides) under uncultured Sphingomonas sp. RNAcentral describes it as "bacterial SSU rRNA". It matches the Rfam family "Bacterial small subunit ribosomal RNA", at positions 108 to 426 of the family's 1533-position model. The record is from RNAcentral. Lineage: Bacteria; Pseudomonadati; Pseudomonadota; Alphaproteobacteria; Sphingomonadales; Sphingomonadaceae.